CAGCACCUCAAGUGGUCAGGAUGAUUAUUGGGCCUAAAGCAUCCGUAGCCGGCGCUGUAAGUUUUCGGUUAAAUCUGUACGCUCAACGUACAGGCUGCCGGGAAUACUGCAGCGCUAGGGAGUGGGAGAGGUAGACGGUACUCGGUAGGAAGGGGUAAAAUCCUUUGAUCUAUUGAUGACCACCUGUGGCGAAGGCGGUCUACCAGAACACGUCCGACGGUGAGGGAUGAAAGCUGGGGGAGCAAACCGGAUUAGAUACCCGCGUAGUCCC
This 271-nucleotide ribosomal RNA is filed under the name uncultured archaeon. RNAcentral describes it as "partial 16S ribosomal RNA". It matches the Rfam family "Archaeal small subunit ribosomal RNA", at positions 477 to 748 of the family's 1478-position model. The record is from RNAcentral.